Morus notabilis is the source of this 368-nucleotide long non-coding RNA. RefSeq lists it as uncharacterized. The transcript has 3 exons. The record is from RefSeq and is a predicted model, not a curated record. Lineage: Eukaryota; Viridiplantae; Streptophyta; Magnoliopsida; Rosales; Moraceae.
UCAGGAUGUGGGAAUUCCUAUUUUGAUUGCUGCUAUUUACAGGAUGGGAGAAGAGCUUCAAGUCCUCGAAUGUUGUUGAUAAGUGUGAGAAAGAGACGUUUGAAUGGACAAAAUGAGCUUACUCUGCUUCACUUUUGUUCAAGUCCCUUUAAGAUGCGGGUUGCACAUCAUUGUUCAUCAGAUUUUGGAUUAAUGAUGGGAGAGCUUUUGGUGAUUGGCGUUGUUGUUGGACCAUUUGUUGUUGUAAAUUGUAAUACAUGUUUCUAACAUUUUUAUUGCAAAGUCAUGGCUUCUUAUCUUGGUUGCAAAAUUUGUAGGGUGGCUCUUAUAUAGAUAAAUUAUUGUUUCUGGUAUUGUAUAUGUUUUGA